Sinocyclocheilus grahami is the source of this 247-nucleotide long non-coding RNA. RefSeq lists it as uncharacterized. Lineage: Eukaryota; Metazoa; Chordata; Actinopteri; Cypriniformes; Cyprinidae. The transcript has 3 exons. The record is from RefSeq and is a predicted model, not a curated record.
UACAAAAAGGGAUUUACAAAAGAACGAAUCUUGUUCUGUAAUUACACCCCAUAUCCCACAACCCGCAACCCGCGUUAGCGGUUUACUAUUCGGGCUCCUGACUGCGCAUGCGCCAAAUCAGGACAUUGGGACUGUGUUUGUGUUUGGGUGGAACGGGUCCAGUUUCCCUCUUUGAAAAGCUGCAGGAAUCAUGGGAGCCGUGUUCCUGCCAGCAGAUGCGGCGCACUCAGUGCUGCGGAGGCUCCCG